This 245-nucleotide ribosomal RNA is filed under the name uncultured Gaiella sp. Its description in RNAcentral is "partial 16S ribosomal RNA". It matches the Rfam family "Bacterial small subunit ribosomal RNA", at positions 524 to 768 of the family's 1533-position model. The record is from RNAcentral. Lineage: Bacteria; Bacillati; Actinomycetota; Thermoleophilia; Gaiellales; Gaiellaceae.
UACGUAGGGGGCGAGCGUUGUCCGGAUUUAUUGGGCGUAAAGAGCGUGUAGGCGGUCUGUCAAGUCCGGUGUGAAAUAUCACGGCUCAACCGUGAAAUUGCAUUGGAAACUGUCAGGCUAGAGUCUGGAUGAGGAGAAUGGAAUUCCUGGUGUAGCGGUGAAAUGCGCAGAUAUCAGGAGGAACACCGGUGGCGAAGGCGGUUCUCUGGGACAGUACUGACGCUGAGACGCGAAAGCGUGGGGAG